UACGGGGGAGGCAAGCGUUGUCCGGAAUCACUAGGCGUAAAGGGCAAGUAGGCGGAUUGAUAAGUUACGGGUUAAAUUUAGAGGCUCAACCUCUAACCAGCUUGUGAUACUGUCAAUCUAGAGUCAGGCAGGGGAAGACGGAAUUCCCGGUGUAGCGGUGGAAUGCGCAGAUAUCGGGAAGAACACUCAUGGCGAAGGCAGUCUUCUGGGCCAUGACUGACGCUCAAUUGCGAAGGUGUGGGUAUCAAACAGGAUUAGAUACCCUGGUAGUCCACACAGUAAACGAUAAACACUAGGUGUCGGGAGAGAGAAUCUUUCGGUGCCGUAGCUAACGCGUUAAGUGUUUCGCCUGGGGAGUACGAUCGCAAGAUUGAA
RNAcentral lists this ribosomal RNA (375 nucleotides) under uncultured bacterium. RNAcentral's name for it is "bacterial SSU rRNA". It matches the Rfam family "Bacterial small subunit ribosomal RNA", at positions 524 to 898 of the family's 1533-position model. The record is from RNAcentral.